CUGGUCCCGGCUCACCCACAAUCCUCCUCCACAGUGGGGCCGCUCACAUACUAUGCCACAAACUCACAAAACGCUCACAGAUGGUUCACUCUAGAUGAUUAUACUGCUGUACGAUGGUUUAGGGGUACUCACACCGUUACUACACGAGGUCUCUUUUCCCUCUUCUUUCCAGCUCCUGGGUACUUCUCCUGCUGCCACGUGCCCUGUCGAAAAGGCCUCCUUCGGCGAUACUUCCGGUGAGUCUUCCUGUUUUCAACCACUCAGAAUUUGUUACACAUGUCCAUGGAGCAUUUCACAGUUAAGUAGACAUUCCAAUAU
This is a long non-coding RNA of Cyprinus carpio carpio, 318 nucleotides long. Lineage: Eukaryota; Metazoa; Chordata; Actinopteri; Cypriniformes; Cyprinidae. The record is from Ensembl.